Molecule: ribosomal RNA, 222 nt
Filed under: uncultured bacterium
Lineage: Bacteria
Description: partial 16S ribosomal RNA
Rfam family: Bacterial small subunit ribosomal RNA
Source: RNAcentral
AGUAAUGUCUGGGAAACUGCCUGAUGGAGGGGGAUAACUGCUGGAAACGGUAGCUAAUACCGCAUAACGUCGCAAGACCAAAGAGGGGGACCUUCGGGCCUCAUGCCAUAAGAUGUGCCCAGAUGGGAUUAGCUAGUAGGUGGGGUAACGGCUCACCUAGGCGACGAUCCCUAGCUGGUCUGAGAGGAUGACCAGCCACACUGGAACUGAGACACGGUCCAG